GUUUAUCUGCCGAGUUUGCCUUUCGGCAAACGUCGCAUUAUUGUAUGCAGUUUGUAAACAAACUGCGUGAAAAAACUUUUUUCGCAAAUUGAUAUUUGCUGCAAAAAGUUUUUAUGGG
This 118-nucleotide small RNA is filed under the name uncultured Treponema sp. RNAcentral describes it as "TD-1 RNA". It matches the Rfam family "TD-1 RNA". From Rfam's summary of the family: non coding RNA found in Treponema denticola Lineage: Bacteria; Pseudomonadati; Spirochaetota; Spirochaetia; Treponematales; Treponemataceae. The record is from RNAcentral.